GUUCAAGUAGUUUAAUGGUAAAAUUUAACGUUGAAGCUGUUAAGAUAAUAAGUGUUUUCUUGGACA
This 66-nucleotide transfer RNA is filed under the name Semele scabra. RNAcentral's name for it is "tRNA-Phe". It matches the Rfam family "tRNA". From Rfam's summary of the family: Transfer RNA (tRNA) molecules are approximately 80 nucleotides in length. Their secondary structure includes four short double-helical elements and three loops (D, anti-codon, and T loops). The record is from RNAcentral. Lineage: Eukaryota; Metazoa; Mollusca; Bivalvia; Cardiida; Semelidae.